CUUGAAUCAUCCUGAAACCAUCCCCCUCCCAUUCCACCCAUUCUGUGGAAAAAUUGUCUUCCAUGAAACCAGUCCCUGGUGCCAAAAAGUUGGGGACCACUGAAAUAAAGCUUUGCCAACAUGUGACCCUGCCAGGAGCUUCUCUGAAAGAUCUUAUAAGACUUGGGGGACACUGGUACCUCAAUCAAGCAGUGUGGCUGUUUUUGCUUUUGUCUCUGUGUUUUAAGCAUAGGAAAUGCCAGCACAAGCAGUACCUUGGACUCUUUCCAGGUAGAGGAUUAUGUAAUUCAAGUGUUCCUAUUAUUGCACUUGUGUUAGUGACGGGCACUGAUCAUGACCAUGCUUGGGUGCAACUGGCUCUUAAGAACUCAUGCUCAGCUUGAAUAGGGAAAAACAAGGGAAUUGUGAUGGUGCAUUUCCAUGAUUUCUGAUGGCAACAGUCUAAUUCUUCUGCCUUGUUGUCUUCAAGCAAAGAACGGGGGAGAUGAGAAGAGGAAAAAGAGAGAAUGUAAAAGGUAGGCAAAGGGAAUGGCUUGGAUGUGCUCAUACAUACCUGAGGCAGGAACAGGUUGAGGUUAACACAGUGCUAUCGAGUUUCUUAUGUCACCUUCCCUCUACUUUUGCUAUAGACUUUGCUUUCUCCUAAUUCUGGCUUGCUCGUGAUUCCUCAUGGCUUCUAAAGGUAUUUCAUGGCCUUCUUUGAUGUACACUGUCAUCAUCUUCUCUUACUCAUUUCCUGUUUCAAAUAUCUGAGGAAGAGACUCUGACUGGAAUAACUUUUUUUUUUUUUUUUUUUUUUUGACAGGGUCUUGCUCUGUUGCCAGGUUGGAUUGCAGUGCUGUGAUCUUAGCUCACUCCAACCUCCGCCUCCUGGGUUCAAGCAAUUCUCGUGCCCAGCUUCCCCAGUAACUGGGAUUACAGGCACAUGCUACCACACCCAGGUAAUUUUUGUAUUUGUAGUAGAGACGGGGUUUCACCGUGUUGGCCAGGAUGAUCUCAAUCUCCUGACCUCAUGAUCUGCCCACCUAGGCCUCCCAAAGUGCUGGGAUUACAGGUGUGAGCCAUUGCGCCUGGCCAUAACUUGUCUUUUUACCUGUGGCCACUCCAGAGGUCAUGGAGAGGCCAUGGUUUGGCUGCUCUUGCUUUAGAUUUGCACCCCUGACUGAGACCAGAAUGGCCAGGCUGCAUGGUAUAAAACAUAUCCUCCUGGGGCUACAUGUUCUGCAGAAGCUGUGGGAAGGCACAUUCUGGGGUAUGGUAGGUGGCAGCCAAUAUCACCUCAGGUUCUCCAACACAGCAGACACAAGCUAUUCAUGCUUGUAAUUAAUUUUGUACCCUACAUGAGCAUAAGGCAAAAGAGCCCACAAAGAAAGUGAUCUAGCACAGGGCAGUUGUAGGAUGCUCGUUGUUGAUCCAUUUGGUUCAAAACGAAAGCCUUCUGUGUUAAAAUCCACAGCAGGAAAUAACAACAACCACAAACAAAAAGUACUCAAGAGUGGUUUUACUCAUGAAAACAUAGAUAAACAAUCAUUUAUGCCCUUAGAGAAUGAAUAAAAGAUCAAAGUUGGAAUAACAGAACACAGAGACUGUUUUUCCCCCUUUUUCUGCUUGAACAAAAAUCACCCAAGGACUGAAAAGUUCACUAUUCUAUUGCUUCUUGUAUAUGAAUGCAAAUGUAUAUAGGCCAAAAUUCAGGUGGGGUUUUUUCCUGCCCCUUGCGAUCUAUGUAAAUUUGCCUUUAACUCUCAAAUUCUAUGGUUCACAGAGCUUUAC
Molecule: long non-coding RNA, 1773 nt
Filed under: Macaca mulatta (Rhesus monkey)
Lineage: Eukaryota; Metazoa; Chordata; Mammalia; Primates; Cercopithecidae
Description: lncRNA (ENSMMUG00000058872.1)
Source: RNAcentral